UCCCUGGUGGCUUAGUGGUGAAGAAUCUGCCAGCAAUGCAGGAGACUCAGGUUUGAAUCCUGGGUCGGGAA
This 71-nucleotide transfer RNA is filed under the name Ovis aries (sheep). It matches the Rfam family "tRNA". Rfam says of the family: Transfer RNA (tRNA) molecules are approximately 80 nucleotides in length. Lineage: Eukaryota; Metazoa; Chordata; Mammalia; Artiodactyla; Bovidae. The record is from Rfam by way of RNAcentral.